This is a long non-coding RNA of Dreissena polymorpha, 1423 nucleotides long. RefSeq lists it as uncharacterized. Lineage: Eukaryota; Metazoa; Mollusca; Bivalvia; Myida; Dreissenidae. The transcript has 8 exons. The record is from RefSeq and is a predicted model, not a curated record.
CUCGCCCUUGGAAGGAGUGUUUAAUAUUUCAAUACAAUUGGUGGCUACAGUUUUAUCAUAUUUCUUUUUUAACAUUCAGGUUAAAAAAUUUGGUCUGAAGAAUUAAUCAUUCUGCAAGUGGUCCACAACGAAGAUAUAAUGGUGCAGAGGAUUUAGCAGUCACAGUGCUAACCUCCCCAAGGCUGAGAGAGACCAGGUCGAGAGUAGCUUAUACUUCGACGGUCAGUUACAGAUCAGUUUCAACGCUCAUAUAUUUAUUAUAUAUCCACUCAAUAAACUUGUAACUGUCAGUGCCUUUGUUGGGAUUCUGCCCCACAUUUUGGAGCUGCCAGUGUUACAGUACAUUAUGAAGUAUGAAGUAUGACCAGUUUAUUGUGGACAGAAACUCCGACGCCUGAAAGAAACUAUACAACACCUGUCUGAGGGUGUCUCAAAAAUGCACAGUAGCAAAGAAGAAUCCAGUGAAAUGGAAGGAACACCUGCAACGGAUGAUGGCUGGAAUGAGAGCGAAGUCGUAGAGAUUACAUCACAUUUACAAGAUGGCAGAUUGGUUGAACUUAGCAAAUCCUUUCUCAUAAAGAUAAAAAACUGUUCCGACCUUACGAGCAUGGGUGGUUUCGGUAAAAUCUAUACUUCUCGCGUUCCUAUUCCUGGAUUCAAACACAGACUUGUCCUUAAGGCAAUUGGAGGUGAUGAUGAGAACUCAAAAUCUCAGACUCAACUUUUAGGUUCCGUUAAAAAUGAGAAGCUUGCAUCACGCGUGAGACAUUUUGCUAUCGUUCCACUGCUGGCAUACCAGGAUGAUCUUUCGUUAAGGUAAGAUUAUGCAAUAGAAACGGAAAAGCUUUGUUCAAAGAUGAGAACGACACUCAAUUGUACUUCUAACGCAACAGUUAUAAUUUGUAAUCAUGUCUUUCUUAUUUAUUAUGCCCCCCUUCGAAGAGGGGGUAUAUUGCUUUGCUCAUGUCGGUCGGUCGGUCCGUCCGUCCGUCCACCAGGUGGUUGUCAUACGAUAACUCAAGAACGCUUGGGCCUAGGAUCAUGAAACUUCAUAGGUACAUUGCUCAUGACUCGCAGAUGACCCCUAUUGAUUUUGAGGUCACUAGGUCAAAGGUCAAGGUCACGGUGACUCGAAAUAGUAAAAUGGUUUUUGAAUGAUAACUCAAGAAUGCAUACGCGGCCAACAGGGCACACUCUGAACAAUAUUACUGAAGCAACUGGUCUGUAAUCUUAAAUAUAUAAUUAUCAGUCCAAUUAAACAUUAUCCUUUUAGUAAAAUACAGUGGAUCAGUAAAAAUAUUAUCAGAAUAUGAGAUUUUUUGUAUAUUUUGUAUAUUAAAUAUUGUGUUAAUGUUUAAUUUUGUUGAUUAAUAUAAAUAUAAGCAGGACAGGGGAGGUAAUACACUAUUAUAUCUUUGUUAUA